Molecule: ribosomal RNA, 1372 nt
Filed under: uncultured bacterium
Lineage: Bacteria
Description: bacterial SSU rRNA
Rfam family: Bacterial small subunit ribosomal RNA
Source: RNAcentral
GAUGAACGCUGGCGGCGUGCCUAAUACAUGCAAGUCGAGCGAACGGACGAGAAGCUUGCUUCUCUGAUGUUAGCGGCGGACGGGUGAGUAACACGUGGAUAACCUACCUAUAAGACUGGGAUAACUUCGGGAAACCGGAGCUAAUACCGGAUAAUAUUUUGAACCGCAUGGUUCAAAAGUGAAAGACGGUCUUGCUGUCACUUAUAGAUGGAUCCGCGCUGCAUUAGCUAGUUGGUAAGGUAACGGCUUACCAAGGCAACGAUGCAUAGCCGACCUGAGAGGGUGAUCGGCCACACUGGAACUGAGACACGGUCCAGACUCCUACGGGAGGCAGCAGUAGGGAAUCUUCCGCAAUGGGCGAAAGCCUGACGGAGCAACGCCGCGUGAGUGAUGAAGGUCUUCGGAUCGUAAAACUCUGUUAUUAGGGAAGAACAUAUGUGUAAGUAACUGUGCACAUCUUGACGGUACCUAAUCAGAAAGCCACGGCUAACUACGUGCCAGCAGCCGCGGUAAUACGUAGGUGGCAAGCGUUAUCCGGAAUUAUUGGGCGUAAAGCGCGCGUAGGCGGUUUUUUAAGUCUGAUGUGAAAGCCCACGGCUCAACCGUGGAGGGUCAUUGGAAACUGGAAAACUUGAGUGCAGAAGAGGAAAGUGGAAUUCCAUGUGUAGCGGUGAAAUGCGCAGAGAUAUGGAGGAACACCAGUGGCGAAGGCGACUUUCUGGUCUGUAACUGACGCUGAUGUGCGAAAGCGUGGGGAUCAAACAGGAUUAGAUACCCUGGUAGUCCACGCCGUAAACGAUGAGUGCUAAGUGUUAGGGGGUUUCCGCCCCUUAGUGCUGCAGCUAACGCAUUAAGCACUCCGCCUGGGGAGUACGACCGCAAGGUUGAAACUCAAAGGAAUUGACGGGGACCCGCACAAGCGGUGGAGCAUGUGGUUUAAUUCGAAGCAACGCGAAGAACCUUACCAAAUCUUGACAUCCUUUGACAACUCUAGAGAUAGAGCUUUCCCCUUCGGGGGACAAAGUGACAGGUGGUGCAUGGUUGUCGUCAGCUCGUGUCGUGAGAUGCUGGGUUAAGUCCCGCAACGAGCGCAACCCUUAAGCUUAGUUGCCAUCAUUAAGUUGGGCACUCUAAGUUGACUGCCGGUGACAAACCGGAGGAAGGUGGGGAUGACGUCAAAUCAUCAUGCCCCUUAUGAUUUGGGCUACACACGUGCUACAAUGGACAAUACAAAGGGCAGCGAAACCGUGAGGUCAAGCAAAUCCCAUAAAGUUGUUCUCAGUUCGGAUUGUAGUCUGCAACUCGACUACAUGAAGCUGGAAUCGCUAGUAAUCGUAGAUCAGCAUGCUACGGUGAAUACGUUCCCGGGUCU